CUAGCACUUUCAGUGUUCGAGUUGUAAUUUGAAGAAGGUAUCUUUGGAGUUGGCCCCUGUCUAUGUUCCUUGGAACAGGACGUCACAGAGGGUGAGAAUCCCGUGCGAUGGGGAGACCAAUUCUAUGUAAAGUUCCUUCGAAGAGUCGAGUUGUUUGGGAAUGCAGCUCUAAGUGGGUGGUAAAUUCCAUCUAAAGCUAAAUAUUGGCGAGAGACCGAUAGCGAACAAGUACAGUGAUGGAAAGAUGAAAAGAACUUUGAAAAGAGAGUGAAAAAGUACGUGAAAUUGUUGAAAGGGAAGGACUUUUGAUCAGACUUGGUGUUUAGUACUCUCUACUCCUUGUGGGUGGGGCUCUUGCUUUAUACUGGGCCAGCAUCGGUUUGGGUGGCAGGAUAAUGGCAAUUGGAAAUGUGGCUUCAUUCGUGGAGUGUUAUAGCCUUUGUUGAUACUGCCUAUCUAG
RNAcentral lists this ribosomal RNA (460 nucleotides) under Nakazawaea ishiwadae. RNAcentral describes it as "partial large subunit ribosomal RNA". It matches the Rfam family "Eukaryotic large subunit ribosomal RNA", at positions 122 to 586 of the family's 3401-position model. Lineage: Eukaryota; Fungi; Ascomycota; Pichiomycetes; Alaninales; Pachysolenaceae. The record is from RNAcentral.